UAUUUUGCCGACCGAAGUACAUUUUACCGACGCAAUCGACUAGGAAGGUCUUAAAGAUCAACAGGUUGGCCACUGACUUAGCUCACGGCACAACUCCCACUUAAGUCUUCCUUUUAUUCUCUUCUGUUCUCGGUCUUAUUUCAAAAAUGAUUCCAUGUUUUGGGUCUUUUGACCCCAUAAUAUCUUACUCACACAAUAUUAUGAAAAACAUUAAAUAAUUCCCACUGUAGUUUAUCAUCAUGACUGUACCAUGAACUUUUUCUUCCCAUUAAUUUCUCACAUCCCCAGCGAUAUGGGUUUGAUUCCCAGCUGUAUUCAUGGAGUUUGCUCAUCCUCCCUCUUCCAUCCCAAGAACAUGGGAACAUGGGGUGAAUGAUGUCCACGUGUGGAUUGGCAUCCCUUCUAGGUCAUUCCGCUACCAGGUGUCCUGUGCUUCUUGGAACAGGCUUUGCAUCUCCCUCCUGGAUAAGCAUUAUGAAAAAUGGAUUGAUAUACAUUUAUGAUGUGUUGGCCACCUGUGCAUGUAUACAGUUUAAUGAUGUACUCUGGUGCCAUUGUUGAAGUAUUCUAGUGUUUUUCCCCAAGUACACUAUUGUUGUACACACCAAACCUGGUCUUUAAAAUUAAAUUUUAUUUAGCUGA
Molecule: non-coding RNA, 642 nt
Organism: Paramormyrops kingsleyae
Lineage: Eukaryota; Metazoa; Chordata; Actinopteri; Osteoglossiformes; Mormyridae
Source: RefSeq, a predicted model, not a curated record